UUGGAGGGCAAGUCUGGUGCCAGCAGCCGCGGUAAUUCCAGCUCCAAUAGCGUAUAUUAAAGUUGUUGCAGUUAAAAAGCUCGUAGUUGAAUUUCGGGAUUGGCGCAUCGGUCGUGCCUCACGGGGUAUGAACUGGUGCAGUCAAUUUCUCACCUUCUGGAGAACCGCGAUGUCCUUAAUUGGAUGCCGCGGGGAACCAGGACCUUUACUUUGAAAAAAUUAGAGUGUUUAAAGCAGGCAUUUUUGCUUGAAUACAUUAGCAUGGAAUAAUAAAAUAGGACGGCAUGGUUCUAUUUUGUUGGUUUCUAGGACCACCGUAAUGAUUAAUAGGGAUAGUUGGGGGCAUUAGUAUUCAAUUGUCAGAGGUGAAAUUCUUGGAUUUAUUGAAGACUAACUACUGCGAAAGCAUUUGCCAAGGAUGUUUUCAUUAAUCAGGAACGAAAGUUAGGGGAUCGAAGACGAUCAGAUACCGUCGUAGUCUUAACCAUAAACUAUGCCGACUAGGAAUCAGACGAUGUUAAUUUUUUAAUGACUCGUUUGGCACCUUACGGGAAACCAAAGUGUUUGGGUUC
Molecule: ribosomal RNA, 572 nt
Filed under: uncultured Glomeromycotina
Lineage: Eukaryota; Fungi; Glomeromycota
Description: SSU rRNA
Rfam family: Eukaryotic small subunit ribosomal RNA
Source: RNAcentral